CAACCCAACAACGGGUUGUCUGAUUCAUCUGAAAAUUUCAGGGCAGAUAGAUCUUGACCUGAUAAACAAUUUUACCCCCCAUGUCAGAUUUGCUCUAAAUGCUUUGGUUUUUGAGUUAUAAGCCAAAACUGCAUUUACCCCUAUGUUCUAUUUUUAGCAAUGGCGACCAUGUUUGUUGAUAGAUCAAAACUUCGGAUACAAUUUAUAAAUUAGAUACCCUAAGGAACAUUCAGUUAAAGUUUGAAAGUAUUUGGCCCAGUAGUUUCAGAGGAGAAGAUUCUUGAAAUAGUUUACGACGACAGACGACGACAGACGACGACGGACGCCAAGUGAUGGCAUAAGCUCACUUGUCCCUUGGGGACAGGUGAGCUAAAAAUAGUUCAAUAUUAGAAAAGUAUUAAAUGUAUGAAUUUGUUGAAUUGGAUAAAUAAGAAAUAAACUUGAACAACAAAAUCU
This 456-nucleotide long non-coding RNA is filed under the name Mytilus galloprovincialis (Mediterranean mussel). The record is from RNAcentral. Lineage: Eukaryota; Metazoa; Mollusca; Bivalvia; Mytilida; Mytilidae.